UUUUGUGGGGUUAGCACGUUCAUAUUAUCUAAGACGACAAGUGGCUUGUAAGUAAGAUUUUUUUUCUUUUUAUUUCAAAGUUUUAAAGGAUAUUAAAUUAGAGUGGUUCACAUUUCACCACAACAGGAUCUAUGUUUCUCUUCGUAACGACAAGUCCAUAUACUUAAAUAUUUCUUCAUAUUUUGGGUAAUGCUUCUAGUUGUACAUAAUCGCAGUCGAAAGUGCAAUAGACUUCACUUCGCUGAAGGUGAAAAUUUCAUC
RNAcentral lists this long non-coding RNA (261 nucleotides) under Linum usitatissimum (flax). RNAcentral describes it as "long non-coding RNA (LUSI_LNC004375)". Lineage: Eukaryota; Viridiplantae; Streptophyta; Magnoliopsida; Malpighiales; Linaceae. The record is from RNAcentral.